GCCGGGAUAGCUCAGUUGGUUAGAGCGAGGGACUCAUAAGCCCUAGGUCGUCAGUUCGAUUCUGACUCCCGGCA
RNAcentral lists this transfer RNA (74 nucleotides) under Candidatus Margulisiibacteriota bacterium. Its description in RNAcentral is "tRNA-Met". It matches the Rfam family "tRNA". From Rfam's summary of the family: Transfer RNA (tRNA) molecules are approximately 80 nucleotides in length. Their secondary structure includes four short double-helical elements and three loops (D, anti-codon, and T loops). Lineage: Bacteria; Bacillati; Candidatus Margulisiibacteriota. The record is from RNAcentral.